UUUGAUCCUGGCUCAGGACGAACGCUGGCGGCGUGCUUAACACAUGCAAGUCGAACGGUGAAGGGACCAGCUUGGCUGGUUCUGGAUGAGUGGCGAACGGGUGAGUAACACGUGAGUAACCUGCCCCUUCUUCUGGAUAACCGCAUGAAAGUGUGGCUAAUACGGGAUAUUCUGGGUCUGUCGCAUGACGGGCCCGGGAAAGAUAUUGUUUCGGUGGGGAUGGGCUCGCGGCCUAUCAGCUUGUUGGUGGGGUAAUGGCCUACCAAGGCGGUGACGGGUAGCCGGCCUGAGAGGGUGGACGGUCACACUGGGACUGAGACACGGCCCAGACUCCUACGGGAGGCAGCAGUGGGGGAAUAUUGCACAAUGGGCGCAAGCCUGAUGCAGCGACGCCGCGUGAGGGAUGGAGGCCUUCGGGUUGUAAACCUCUUUCGCCAGUGAAGCAGGCCUGCUCCUUGUGGGUGGGUUGACGGUAGCUGGAUAAGAAGCGCCGGCUAACUACGUG
RNAcentral lists this ribosomal RNA (505 nucleotides) under uncultured Actinomyces sp. RNAcentral's name for it is "bacterial SSU rRNA". It matches the Rfam family "Bacterial small subunit ribosomal RNA", at positions 12 to 507 of the family's 1533-position model. Lineage: Bacteria; Bacillati; Actinomycetota; Actinomycetes; Actinomycetales; Actinomycetaceae. The record is from RNAcentral.